GCACAUAUAGUUAAUUUUUUGAAUAGAAGUCCAUGUAUCAGUGGUAAGACUUACUCUUUGACUUGUUCCUUUAAGAAACUUCAUUAAUUUAUUUUUUUUUCACAUUUAAAGGAGCAAAACAAUCCCGUGUAAUAGUAGUACGGGAAGGAAUAUGAAAACAAGGUUGUGCCACUUUCAUAAAUUUCCUAAAGCCUUCCUUCUCAACAAAACUAAACGGAAUUUCAUCAACAAUCACCAUACGACACAAAGCCAUCCUACACUCUUCUUGAUAAAAUUUCCAUGGAAUAAGAUCACCUUUAUUACCC
This 305-nucleotide long non-coding RNA is filed under the name Nicotiana benthamiana. RNAcentral's name for it is "long non-coding RNA (NBEN_LNC026722)". The record is from RNAcentral. Lineage: Eukaryota; Viridiplantae; Streptophyta; Magnoliopsida; Solanales; Solanaceae.